CAAAGAUUUAUCGGUAAAGGAUGGGGAUGCGUCCGAUUAGCUUGUUGGCGGGGUAACGGCCCACCAAGGCAUCGAUCGGUAGGGGUUCUGAGAGGAAGGUCCCCCACACCGGAACUGAGACACGGUCCAGACUCCUACGGGAGGCAGCAGUGAGGAAUAUUGGUCAAUGGCCGUAAGGCUGAACCAGCCAAGUAGCGUGAGGGAAGACUGCCCUAUGGGUUGUAAACCUCUUUUAUGCGGGGAUAAAGGUGUCCACGUGUGGAUGUUUGCAGGUACCGCAUGAAUAAGGACCGGCUAAUUCCGUGCCAGCAGCCGCGGUAAUACGGAAGGUCCGGGCGUUAUCCGGAUUUAUUGGGUUUAAAGGGAGCGUAGGCCGGUCUUUAAGCGUGCCGUGAAAUUUUGUGGCUCAACCAUGAGAGUGCGGCGCGAACUGGAGACCUUGAGUGCGCGGAAGGCAGGCGGAAUUCGUGGUGUAGCGGUGAAAUGCUUAGAUAUCACGAAGAACCCCGAUUGCGAAGGCAGCCUGCCGCAGCGUUACUGACGCUGAAGCUCGAAAGCGCGGGUAUCGAACAGGAUUAGAUACCCUGGUAGUCCGCGCGGUAAACGAUGGAUGCCCGCUGUCGGCGAUAUACAGUCG
RNAcentral lists this ribosomal RNA (637 nucleotides) under uncultured bacterium. RNAcentral's name for it is "bacterial SSU rRNA". It matches the Rfam family "Bacterial small subunit ribosomal RNA", at positions 202 to 839 of the family's 1533-position model. The record is from RNAcentral.